Molecule: small RNA, 27 nt
Filed under: Bombyx mori (domestic silkworm)
Lineage: Eukaryota; Metazoa; Arthropoda; Insecta; Lepidoptera; Bombycidae
Description: ovarian small RNA-30617
Source: RNAcentral
UGAAAUGUAUACCUAUGAGGUAGUGCC